Molecule: ribosomal RNA, 492 nt
Filed under: uncultured bacterium
Lineage: Bacteria
Description: partial 16S ribosomal RNA
Rfam family: Bacterial small subunit ribosomal RNA
Source: RNAcentral
AGUGAACGCUGGCGGUAGGCCUAACACAUGCAAGUCGAACGGCAGCACAGUAAGCGCUUGCUCUUACGGGUGGCGAGUGGCGGACGGGUGAGGAAUACAUCGGAAUCUACUUUUUCGUGGGGGAUAACGUAGGGACACUUACGCUAAUACCGCAUACGACCUACGGGUGAAAGCAGGGGAUCUUCGGACCUUGCGCGAUUGAAUGAGCCGAUGUCGGAUUAGCUAGUUGGCGGGGUAAAGGCCCACCAAGGCGACGAUCCGUAGCUGGUCUGAGAGGAUGAUCAGCCACACUGGAACUGAGACACGGUCCAGACUCCUACGGGAGGCAGCAGUGGGGAAUAUUGGACAAUGGGCGCAAGCCUGAUCCAGCCAUACCGCGUGGGUGAAGAAGGCCUUCGGGUUGUAAAGCCCUGUUGUUGGGAAAGAAAAGCAGCAGGUUAAUACCCCGCUGUUCUGACGGUACCCAAAGAAUAAGCACCGGCUAACUUCGUG